GUGAAUCAUCAAAUUUUUGAACACAUAUUGCACUCACUGGUAUUCCGGUGAGUAUGCCUAUUUGAGGGUCAUUUGAAAUAAUAUAAAUUCCAAGAUUUCCAGGAAUUUAAAAUGGGUUGUCCAUUUUUUGUGGUAGCCUAAAAUCCAAGACAAGCUUAUUAUCUUGGGUUGCGUGAUACUUUCAGUUACCUCGUGACUUAACUAGGAAUCAUCGGGCGUGUUAUGACUUUUGCAAGAGACAAAAAAUUCCU
RNAcentral lists this unclassified non-coding RNA (251 nucleotides) under Archaeospora sp. Its description in RNAcentral is "partial contains 5.8S ribosomal RNA and internal transcribed spacer 2". The stretch from base 1 to 71 matches the Rfam family "5.8S ribosomal RNA", at positions 84 to 154 of the family's 154-position model. The record is from RNAcentral. Lineage: Eukaryota; Fungi; Glomeromycota; Glomeromycetes; Archaeosporales; Archaeosporaceae.